This is a long non-coding RNA of Prosopis cineraria, 1111 nucleotides long. RefSeq lists it as uncharacterized. NCBI's taxonomy places the organism in Eukaryota, Viridiplantae, Streptophyta, Magnoliopsida, Fabales, Fabaceae. The transcript is spliced from 4 exons. The record is from RefSeq and is a predicted model, not a curated record.
GAAUGGCAACGAAAAUGAUGAUAGUGACAAUGAUGCCAACAUAGAAAAACCUUGGGAGAAAUAUCCAUUUAUUGAUUAUGACAUGUGGAUAAAAUUUGUUCACAGUAGACACGAUCCCAAGUUUUUAGAAAAAAGUCAAAAAGGUCAAGAGCGUCGAAAGAAAAAUCUAUACAACCAUACUGUGUCUCGAGGAGGGUACGCAUAUAUUUAUGAUAUAAUGAAUCAAGAGAAGUGGGAAGCUAAAAGACAAGCAGCGGGAGUUGAUAAUAUUGAAGAAGUUUCUCCUCCAUCUCCUGUUAAUCGUGCUCAAGCAUGGAAGAGAGGACGGAUGAAUAAAAAGGGAAAGUUUAUUUCCUCGGAGGCUAGAGAAGUAGCUGAGAAAAUUGAUGCUCUUACAGAAGCAUCAUCCGAGGGGACCUUUGUGUCUAUUGGUAGAAAGGACAAAUUGACCAUGACCUUAGGGAGUGAAGAGCACUCUAGUCGUGUUAGGGGGGUUCCUAAAGGUAUGGGUAUAAGACAAUAUUUUAGACCUCCACCUUCUAAUCUUGUACCAAUCCAGCAAGUGCAAAUGAUGAUAGCAGAAUGCAAGUCAAGCAUGACAAUGGAAAUUCAAUCAAUGAUUAGUAAUUUGCAAAUGCAACCACAAUAAACAUCGAAUUAUGGUGGUGCUACAGAGCCAGUGUGUGAUCUUAGUUUAUCAAAUCAAGGAAUGCCAUGCAUACUUUAUGUGAAGGAUCAUGGAAAACGAGUAGUUGCAUAUGGAAAGGUGUGUAACCAUGCAACUACAGUCCACCAUCAACAUAUACAACAUAACCAAGUAAAGGUGAUGGUUGAAGAGGUUGUGGAUGCUAAUGCUCCUGUACUAUUUCCUACUGAGGAGGUGGAAACAAUAGGACAAGCUCAACAUAAUUUCAUUAUUUGGUUGAAAAAGCUAGUUCGACAAGUUACUGAAGAGGUACCUUCACAAGAUAUGCACUGAACUCGGUGUCGAUGAGAAUUAUGGGUUCUUAUCUCUACUUUUAACCUCCAUUGGCAAAGUGAAUCAAAGAGCUUCUUAUAUUGGAAAGACGAUGUGUAAGCAAAAGAAGACAUGCUGGUUUUUACCAAUUAU